AGAUGGCGCUGGUUACCUCGUGUCAUAUCAAAGGGCAUUUUUGUUCACAAAUACCCGCUUAUUUUACGUUAUAGCGACUGGUUCGUUUUGGAAAUUAUAACUCAAUGGACGGGGAAAAUGGUUCUGUAUUAAAGAGAAAAUGAUGUGCAGUUAUUGUGAUGUUAUUUGUUGUGAAAGACGGCCCGAAAUUUCGCUACUUCGCAGUACUGGUUUAUAAAACAUUUACAAGCAAGUAAGCAACAGCAAUUGAACUAUAUGACAAAGAAACCAAUGUAUACAAGCCAAUCAAGUUCUUCAGUUUAAAGGUCUGUUUACUUUUUAAUAAUUAGUUCAUUUAGUUGUACAUUAAUACGAAGUACUGGAACAGUACGCCUAGUCACAGAAUAGGAAGGUAUACCCAUUGAACUGCAGUCUGCAGAUUAUACUGACCGCUUACGGUAGCCAUUUUGGAGGUUGUUAAAUUCGUUCUUAAUUAAAGUUUUUUGUAACAGGUUAGCGAGAAAACAUUUCGACAAGUUUACAAGCGAGAUCUUGCUGAUUUAUGAAAAUCCUGAAAAGUUACACUGCGACGCUAUACCAUGCCCAAAAUAAGCAGUUUGUGGAAAAAUAUUGAAAGCAUGUGUGCUAUCAUACCCUGGAUUCCAGAGCCUUCGACAAUAAAUAAUAAAUUGAAACAUCGCGAAGGCUCUGGUUCAACGGGAAGAUUCUUUGAUUAAACUGCGCCAAUCACAAAACAGAAUUAGUAGUUUUAGUAAUUAGUACAGAUUCUGUACUAACAGCACUAAUUCUGUUCUGUGAUUGACACGGUUUAUAAAUCAAAGAAUCUUCCUGUUGAACCAGAGCUUUCGCAAUGUUUCAAUUCAUUAUUUACUGUCAAAGGCUUUGGAAUCCAGGGUAGUGCUAUCGUAACAAAAGAGGAACAUUUGUUUGCUUUUUGAAAUGAAAUAGAACAUAUAAUUGCUGCCGCAGCGAGCGAGCCUGAAGCGAGCGAGCAAGGCAGCAGAUCCUAAUUUUGUUUUGUGGGUCGAAAUCAAAAUUUUCUAUUUGGCGCAUUGCAUGACGGUACCAGUGAAUUUUAACCGUGGUGCAGCGCGGUCAGGCAUAAGGCAAACAGACAAUGUGAUCAUCUUUCAUCUUUGGUCUUCUUUUAUGGAAAGCCAUAGCUGGCUUAAAGUGAUCAAACAGCAUUUUGUUGNNNNNNNNNNNNNNNNNNNNCCUAAUUCACCCCCAGUCUGCAUUUUAUCCUCAGUCUGCAUUUUAUACCCCCAGUCUGCAUUUUGUACCCAGUCCGGUCUGCAGUCCGCAGUCUGCAGAUUAUACUGACCGCUUACGGUAGCCAUUAAUUUUGGAGGUUGGUAAAUUCGUUCUUAAUUAAAGUUUUUUGUAACAGGUUAGCGAGAAAACAUUUCGACAAGUUUACAAGCGAGAUCUUGCUGAUUUAUGAAAAUCCUGAAAAGUUACACUGCGACGCUAUACCAUGCCCAAAAUAAGCAGUUUGUGGAAAAAUAUUGAAAGCAUGUGUGCUAUCAUACCCUGGAUUCCAGAGCCUUCGGCAAUAAAUAAUAAAUUGAAACAUCGCGAAGGCUCUGGUUCAACGGGAAGAUUCUUUGAUUAAACUGCGCCAAUCACAAAACAGAAUUAGUGGUUUUAGUAAUUAGUACAGAUUCUGUACUAACAGCACUGCACUAAUUCUGUUCUGUGAUUGACACGGUUUAUAAAUCAAAGAAUCUUCCUGUUGAACCAGAGCUUUCGCAAUGUUUCAAUUUAUUAUUUGCUGUCAAAGGCUUUGGAAUCCAGGGUAGUGCUAUCGUAACAAAAGAGGAACAUUUGUUUGCUUUUUGAAAUGAAAUAGAACAUAUAAUUAUAUCAUUUUAAUGACUUGCUUCCGAUUUUCAGAGAGGUCUUGGAAACAUUACUAAUUGUUGAUACUUUUGAAAUAUUCAGCAACUUGCCGAUGAAAUUUUUAUAAAAUAUUGCCAUAAAAUAUAUAACAUUCUAAGGCUAUAUAUAUAUAUAUUGAUACUAUUGAUACUAUAGUGCUGUUCCAACGUACAAUAAUGUGAAAAAAAGAGAUGAAAAAGUUUUUUCAUCAAGUGAGAAAAAUUUCCGGAGAAACUUUCCAAAAUUGUUGUCGCUCCAAUAUUGUUUAGGUCCAUUUUUUAAGUAUUUUAUAAAGCGUAUGCUAUGUAUGUGCUAAGAAGCUAGUUUUGUUGGCAUGUGGAAAGCAAAAGCAGCGAAGGUAAAGAGAUUAAAAUUGGAUUUAGUGCGUAUUUUUGAAAAAAUUUUACCACCAAAUAUGGUAGUCCCCCCCGUCGAUGACACUUGUGACGUCAGGUACAUACGGGACUUUGGGGGCGGGUUUUGGCGGGAAAAUCUGUAAUGUUUGGAGAAGACAAGAUGGCGCUGGUUACCUCGUGUUAUAUCAAACGGCAUUUUUGUUCACAAAUACCCGCUUAUUUUACGUUAUAGCGACUGGUUCGUUUUGGAAAUUAUAACUGAAUGGACGGGGAAAAUGAUUCUGUAUUAAAGAGAAAGUGAUGUGCAGUUAUUGUGAUGUUAUUUGUUGUGAAAGACGGCCCGAAAUUUCGCUACUUCGCAGUACUGGUUUAUAAAACAUUUACAAGCAACAGCAAUUGAACUAUAUGACAAAGAAACCAAUGUAUACAAGCCAGUCAAGUUCUUCAGUUUAAAGGUC
RNAcentral lists this long non-coding RNA (2695 nucleotides) under Paramuricea clavata. Lineage: Eukaryota; Metazoa; Cnidaria; Anthozoa; Malacalcyonacea; Plexauridae. The record is from RNAcentral.